AUACGAAGGGGGCUAGCGUUGUUCGGAAUCACUGGGCGUAAAGCGCACGUAGGCGGAUUUUUAAGUCAGGGGUGAAAUCCCGAGGCUCAACCUCGGAACUGCCUUUGAUACUGGAGAUCUGGAGUCCGGAAGAGGUGAGUGGAAUACCGAGUGUAGAGGUGAAAUUCGUAGAUAUUCGGUGGAACACCAGUGGCGAAGGCGGCUCACUGGUCCGGUACUGACGCUGAGGUGCGAAAGCGUGGGGAGCAAACAGGAUUAGAUACCCUAGUAGUCC
RNAcentral lists this ribosomal RNA (274 nucleotides) under uncultured bacterium. RNAcentral describes it as "partial 16S ribosomal RNA". It matches the Rfam family "Bacterial small subunit ribosomal RNA", at positions 523 to 796 of the family's 1533-position model. The record is from RNAcentral.